This 317-nucleotide small nuclear RNA is filed under the name Chinchilla lanigera (long-tailed chinchilla). Its description in RNAcentral is "7SK RNA (ENSCLAG00000021876.1)". It matches the Rfam family "7SK RNA". From Rfam's summary of the family: 7SK was discovered as an abundant small nuclear RNA in the mid-70s but a possible function has only recently been suggested. The record is from RNAcentral. Lineage: Eukaryota; Metazoa; Chordata; Mammalia; Rodentia; Chinchillidae.
GGGUGUGAGGGCGACCUGGCUGCGACGUCUGUCACCCCAUUGAUCGCCAGGGUAGAUUCGGCUGAUCUGGCUGGCUAGGCGGGUGCCCCCUUCCUCCCUCUACUCUCCAUGUGCAUCAUUCCCGAAGCUGCGCGCUCAGUCGAAGAGGACGACCACCUCCCCCCAAUAGAGAACUGUUCCUCUUAUGAGUAGGUAUACAAGUAGCUGCACUCCCGUGCUAGAACCUCCAAACAAGCCCUCAGAGGGUGCAAGCACAGAUCUGCUGAAGGAGAAAACUCCAAAUUUCAUCUCAAGGAAAAGUUCCUUUGAUCUAAAAU